This 116-nucleotide ribosomal RNA is filed under the name Macaca nemestrina (pig-tailed macaque). Lineage: Eukaryota; Metazoa; Chordata; Mammalia; Primates; Cercopithecidae. The record is from RNAcentral.
GUCUAUGGCCAUACCACCCCGAAUGCACCCAAUCUCGUCCGAUCUCAGAAGCUAAGCAGGCUUGGGCCUAGUUAGUACUUGGAUGGGAAAUAAUCAGAAGGAUUGAAAGAUAAAUG